AUUGAACGCUGGCGGCAUGCCUUACACAUGCAAGUCGAACGGCAGCACGGGGGCAACCCUGGUGGCGAGUGGCGAACGGGUGAGUAACACAUCGGAACGUGCCCAGUAGUGGGGGAUAGCUCGGCGAAAGCCGGAUUAAUACCGCAUACGACCUACGGGUGAAAGCGGGGGAUCGCAAGACCUCGCGCUAUCGGAGCGGCCGAUGUCAGAUUAGGUUGUUGGGGGGUAAAGGCCUACCAAGCCGACGAUCUGUAGCUGGUCUGAGAGGACGACCAGCCACACUGGGACUGAGACACGGCCCAGACUCCUACGGGAGGCAGCAGUGGGGAAUUUUGGACAAUGGGCGCAAGCCUGAUCCAGCCAUGCCGCGUGCGGGAAGAAGG
This 383-nucleotide ribosomal RNA is filed under the name uncultured bacterium. RNAcentral's name for it is "bacterial SSU rRNA". It matches the Rfam family "Bacterial small subunit ribosomal RNA", at positions 29 to 414 of the family's 1533-position model. The record is from RNAcentral.